GAACUCCGUACACGGGUGGAACAGCCGAAAGGCAUCCAACGCUUGCUGUUUAUGCGUGGUUAGCCCUAAAUACGGGGUUCUU
This 82-nucleotide non-coding RNA is filed under the name unclassified sequences. The record is from RNAcentral.